This 309-nucleotide ribosomal RNA is filed under the name Triticum aestivum (bread wheat). Its description in RNAcentral is "partial small subunit ribosomal RNA". The record is from RNAcentral. Lineage: Eukaryota; Viridiplantae; Streptophyta; Magnoliopsida; Poales; Poaceae.
AUGAUACAUGGUCCAUGUGGUCAAGCACACCCAAAAUCACCAUGCAUGGUUGAUAAAAGUUGUGCCAAACAUUCCCCCAAGAAUUUCUGCACUGAGACUACCAUAGAUGAAGAUAACUAUCCAAUAUAUAGAAGACGAGAUGAUGGCAACACUGUGGACAAGAAUGGAGUGAAGCUAGACAAUAGAUUUGUUGUGCCAUACAAUAGAAACCUAUUGGUCAAGUAUCAAGCCCACAUAAAUGUUGAAUGGUGCAACAAAUCAAGGUCUAUUAAGUAUUUAUUCAAAUACAUCCACAAAGGGGAAGAUUGA